GACGAACGCUGGCGGCGUGCCUAAUACAUGCAAGUCGAGCGGACGAAUCGAAAGCUUGCUUUUGAUUCGUUAGCGGCGGACGGGUGAGUAACACGUGGGCAACCUGCCCUGUAGACGGGGAUAACACCGAGAAAUCGGUGCUAAUACCGGAUAACACGAAAUGUCGCAUGACGUUUCGUUGAAAGACGGCGCAAGCUGUCGCUACAGGAUGGGCCCGCGGCGCAUUAGCUAGUUGGUGAGGUAACGGCUCACCAAGGCGACGAUGCGUAGCCGACCUGGGAGGGUGAUCGGCCACACUGGGACUGAGACACGGCCCAGACUCCGACGGGAGGCAGCAGUAGGGAAUCUUCCGCAAUGGACGAAAGUCUGACGGAGCAACGCCGCGUGAGCGAAGAAGGCCUUCGGGUCGUAAAGCUCUGUUGUUAGGGAAGAACAAGUAACGCAGUAACUGGCGUUACCGUGACGGUACCUAACGAGAAAGCCACGGCUAACUACGUGCCAGCCGCCGCGGUAA
Molecule: ribosomal RNA, 514 nt
Filed under: uncultured bacterium
Lineage: Bacteria
Description: partial 16S ribosomal RNA
Rfam family: Bacterial small subunit ribosomal RNA
Source: RNAcentral